ACUGGGUGCAGUGGUGUACACCUGUAAUCCCAGUGGCUCAGGAGGCUGAGGCAGGAGAUCGUGAGUUCAAAGCCAGGUUCAGCAAAAGCAAAGUGCUAAGCAACUCAAUGAGACCCUGUCUCUA
RNAcentral lists this small RNA (124 nucleotides) under Marmota monax (woodchuck). Lineage: Eukaryota; Metazoa; Chordata; Mammalia; Rodentia; Sciuridae. The record is from RNAcentral.